Molecule: small RNA, 690 nt
Filed under: Pan troglodytes (chimpanzee)
Lineage: Eukaryota; Metazoa; Chordata; Mammalia; Primates; Hominidae
Description: retained intron
Source: RNAcentral
UUUUUUAUUUUUAGUAAAGACAAGGUCUUGCUAUGUUGCCCAGGCUGGUCUCUAACCCCUGGGCUCAAGCAGUCUUCUCAAUGUGGGCAUCCCAAAAGUGUUGGGAUUAUGGGUAUGAGCCAUUGCGCCUGGCAGUUGUGCAGUCUUCUAAAUUUUCUGUCAGUAUCCUGCCCAGGGCAGAGCUGAAACUGUGUUGUUAGGUCUGAUUCUGCCAAGGGUCGUUAAGCAACUCUUCCUUACCUCAGAGAUGACCUGAUCAGAGCCAUCAAGAAACUAAAGGCACUUGGCACUGGCUUCGGCAUCAUCCCUGUGGGCGGCACUUACCUCAUUCAGUCUGUUCCAGCUGAGCUCAAUAUGGAUCACACCGUGGUGCUACAGCUGGCAGAGAAGAAUGGCUACGUGACUGUCAGUGAGAUCAAAGCCAGUCUUAAAUGGGAGACCGAGCGAGCGCGGCAAGUGCUGGAACACCUGCUGAAGGAAGGGUUGGCGUGGCUGGACUUACAGGCCCCAGGGGAGGCCCACUACUGGCUGCCAGCUCUCUUCACUGACCUCUACUCCCAGGAGAUUACAGCUGAGGAGGCCAGAGAAGCCCUCCCCUGACUGCGUGUGGAAGGGCACACAGCAGCAGGCAGGGAGGAGGAGGAGGAGGUGGCAAAUAAACCUGGGCAAUUUUGUUUAUAAAAAAAAUAG